AAUUUUGAGCGCGGAAUAAUAAUAAUAACUAGAAAAGGAAAGUUCGAUAACGAACUUUAAGUUGGCUUGGAAAAGUACGUUAAAUAGUUAAAUAACGUUGAAUAGUUAAAAUGGUUGCUAAGAUAUUUCUGUCUAAAGCGUGUGAAGAGUGGUUGCUAUGCUGUUGACUUUCGGCUAAAUGUUGAAGUCCAAAAAGUUUUGGCUAACAUGGUGAAAAGCUUAUAAUUAUAUUAUAAAGUAAAGUGUUGCUAAGUGGUUGCUAGGUAGUUGCUAGGCAGUUGAUAAUGUAGUCCACAUCGUUGCUUAGUGCUUGCUAAUUGGUUGCUAGGCAGUUGCGAACAUAUUCAAGGUGGUUGCUAAGCUGUUGCUAACUUGUUGCUAGGCAACUCCUAACGUAUUCCAAAUGGUUUUUAAGUGGUUAUUAGGCAGUUUCUAAUAUUUUCCAGGUGGUUGCUAACUGGUUGCUAUGGUAUCCGGGGUGGUUGCUAAGGUGUUGCUAGGUGGUUGCUAAGGUGUUGCUAUGGUAUCCGGGGUGGUUGCUAAGGUGUUGCUAGGUGGUUGCUAGACGGUUGCUAGGCGGUUGCUAAGGUGUUGCUAUGGUGUCUGUGGUGGUUGCUAAGGUGUUGCUAGGUGGUUGCUAAGAUGUUGCUAUGGUAUCUGGGGUGGUUGCUAAGGUGUUGCUAGGUGUAUCUGACUGGUCGCUAGGCAGUUGCUACCAUUUCUAAAGUGGUUGCUAAGCAGUUGCUAAUGUUUUCCAGGUGGUUGCUAAGGUGUUGCUAUCUGGUUGCUAGGCAGUUGCUAACGUAUUACACAUGGUUGCUAAGUGGUUGCUAGGCAGUUGCUAAUGUUUUCCAGGUGGUUGCUAAGGUGUAUCUAACUGGUUGCUAGGCAGUAGUAGAUAAAAAGAAAGAGUGUUAAAUGUAGAAGUACAGAAAAAGGGAGAGCCUGAAAUAGAGAAGUAGAGAGAAAAUCAGCGUGAGAAGUAGAGAAAGAACACCCGAGAAUAUGAGAAAAAGAGUGACAAGUAGAGAGAAAUAUUGAGCGAGAGAAAGAGAAUUAGGGAAAAAGAGAGAUCGAGAAAUAAAGAAGUAGAGAAAGAAAGAGGAUGUAGUAGAGAGAUAGAUAGAAAGAGAAAGCAAGACAGAA
This is a long non-coding RNA of Astyanax mexicanus (Mexican tetra), 1146 nucleotides long. RefSeq lists it as uncharacterized. Lineage: Eukaryota; Metazoa; Chordata; Actinopteri; Characiformes; Acestrorhamphidae. The record is from RefSeq and is a predicted model, not a curated record. The transcript has 2 exons.